UAGAGACUCAGAGCUGCAUAUCAAUAAGCGGAGGAAAAGAAACUAACAAGGAUUCCCUUAGUAACGGCGAGUGAAGCGGGAAGAGCUCAAAUUUGAAAUCUUCAAGGGUUUACCUUUACGAAUUGUAGUUUAAAGAAGUGUUUUCUGUUGGAGUUUCGGUAAAAGUUCUUUGGAAUAGGACAUCAUAGAGGGUGAGAAUCCCGUAUUUGACCGUUACUUUCAGCUGUGUGAUACACUUUCAAAGAGUCGGAUUGUUUGGGAAUGCAGUCCAAAAUGGGUGGUAAAUUUCAUCUAAAGCUAAAUAUUGGCGAGAGACCGAUAGCGAACAAGUACCGUGAGGGAAAGAUGAAAAGAACUUUGAAAAGAGAGUUAAACAGUACGUGAAAUUGUCAAAAGGGAAGCGUUUGACACCAGUGUUGUUUAGCUCGAAAAUCAAUUCAAAUGGUGGGAUGUUGUGUUGUAUUGACUUUAUCAGCUUUCUGCACUCUUUUUCCUAUCUUUUUUAAUGCACUUUUCGUUUAACAAGUCAACAUCAAUUUCUUUUGUUGUAAAAGAGUCAUUGGAAGGUGGCUUUCUUUUCGGAGAAAGUGUUUAUAGCCUUUGACUUCUGCAAUCGGAGAGAUUGAGGUCUGCAGCGUAGAUCCUUCGGGGUUAGAUACUUUUGUGCUAAGUUAUAGCCUCGUAUAGACAACUUGUUGACUAUGCUCAGUCAUGUAGCUUACUCGCUUGUGCUAUUUUACCUACGCUUAGGAUGUUGAACGCGCACAGAGUCUC
Molecule: ribosomal RNA, 774 nt
Filed under: uncultured Neocallimastigales
Lineage: Eukaryota; Fungi; Neocallimastigomycota; Neocallimastigomycetes; Neocallimastigales
Description: partial large subunit ribosomal RNA
Rfam family: Eukaryotic large subunit ribosomal RNA
Source: RNAcentral